Molecule: ribosomal RNA, 464 nt
Filed under: uncultured bacterium
Lineage: Bacteria
Description: partial 16S ribosomal RNA
Rfam family: Bacterial small subunit ribosomal RNA
Source: RNAcentral
GAUGAACGCUAGCGGGAGGCCUAACACAUGCAAGCCGAGCGGUAGAGGUUCUUCGGGAACUUGAGAGCGGCUCACGGGUGCGUAACACGUGUGCAACCUACCUUUAUCUGGGGGAUAGCCUUUCGAAAGAAAGAUUAAUACCCCAUAAUAUAAUGAUUGGCAUCAAUUAUUAUUAAAAACUACGGUGGAUAGGGAUGGGCGCGCGCACGAUCAGCUAGUUGGUGAGGUAACGGCUCACCAAGGAAUCGACCGGUAGGCGGCCUGAGAGGGAGAUCGGCCACACUGGGACUGAGACACGGCCCAGACUCCUACGGGAGGCAGCAGUGGGGAAUAUUGCACAAUGGGCGAAAGCCUGAUGCAGCAACGCCGCGUGAGGGACGACGGCCUUCGGGUUGUAAACCUCUUUUAGCAGGGAAGAAGCGAAAGUGACGGUACCUGAAGAAAAAGCGCCGGCUAACUACGUG